CUCCGCCGGCGACCGGCGCACGGGUGAGUAACACGUAUGAAACCUGCCCGUAGCAGGGGGAUAAGCGGAAGAAAUUCCGUCUAAUACCGCGUAACAACCCGAGGAGGCAUCUCCUCGGGUUUAAAGGAAGCGAUUCCGGCUACGGAUGGUCAUGCGUCGCAUUAGCUAGUUGGCGGGGUAACGGCCCACCAAGGCGACGAUGCGUAGGGGUUCUGAGAGGAAGGUCCCCCACACUGGUACUGAGACACGGACCAGACUCCUACGGAAGGCAGCAG
This 275-nucleotide ribosomal RNA is filed under the name uncultured bacterium. Its description in RNAcentral is "partial 16S ribosomal RNA". It matches the Rfam family "Bacterial small subunit ribosomal RNA", at positions 83 to 354 of the family's 1533-position model. The record is from RNAcentral.